RNAcentral lists this ribosomal RNA (410 nucleotides) under uncultured Nitrososphaerota archaeon. RNAcentral's name for it is "bacterial SSU rRNA". It matches the Rfam family "Archaeal small subunit ribosomal RNA", at positions 451 to 861 of the family's 1478-position model. The record is from RNAcentral. Lineage: Archaea; Thermoproteati; Nitrososphaerota.
UCUGGUGUCAGCCGCCGCGGUAAAACCAGCACCUCAAGUGGUCAGGAUGAUUAUUGGGCCUAAAGCAUCCGUAGCCGGCUCUAUAAGUUUUCGGUUAAAUCUGUACGCUUAACGUACAGGCUGCCGAGAAUACUGCAGAGCUAGGGAGUGGGAGAGGCAGACGGUACUCGGUAGGAAGGGGUAAAAUCCUUUGAUCUAUUGAUGACCACCUGUGGCGAAGGCGGUCUACCAGAACACGUCCGACGGUGAGGGAUGAAAGCUGGGGGAGCAAACCGGAUUAGAUACCCGGGUAGUCCCAGCUGUAAACUAUGCAAACUCAGUGAUGCAUUGGCUUGUGGCCAAUGCAGUGUUGCAGGGAAGCCGUUAAGUUUGCCGCCUGGGAAGUACGUACGCAAGUAUGAAACUUAAAG